GCAAGGAUCAUUACCGAACUGUCAACACGAGUUGUUGCUGGUCCCUCAACAGAGGGCAGGUGCACGCUCUGUUUACACAUCCACUCACACCUGUGCACCUUCUGUAGUACUAUGUUCUGGGAGACCUUGUCUUCCUUUCAUGGUUCUACGCUUUUACACAUACNCUGUAAUUAAGUUUUAUGGAAUGUAUGCCGCGUUUAACGCAAUAAAAUACAACUUUCAGCAACGGAUCUCUUGGCUCUCGCAUCGAUGAAGAACGCAGCGAAAUGCGAUAAGUAAUGUGAAUUGCAGAAUUCAGUGAAUCAUCGAAUCUUUGAACGCACCUUGCGCCCCUUGGCUAUUCCGAAGGGCAUGCCUGUUUGAGUAUCAUGAACACCUCAACUCUCAUGGUUUGCCAUGAUGAGCUUGGACUUUGGAGGCUUGCNGGCCUUUGUUGGCUCCUCUCAAAUCGAUCAGCUUGCCAGUGUUUGGUGGCAUCACGGGUGUGAUAACUAUCUACGCUUGUGAAGGUCUGCCAAGUAACCUCCAGCAAUGGAGGUUCGCUGGAGCUUCCAAAUGUCUUUCCUCUGCAAAGACAGCUUUUCUGAUGUUUGAUCUCAAAUCAGGUAGGACUACCCGCUGAACUUAAGCAUAUC
RNAcentral lists this ribosomal RNA (635 nucleotides) under uncultured Thelephorales. RNAcentral describes it as "eukaryotic LSU rRNA". The stretch from base 215 to 369 matches the Rfam family "5.8S ribosomal RNA". Lineage: Eukaryota; Fungi; Basidiomycota; Agaricomycetes; Thelephorales. The record is from RNAcentral.